This 57-nucleotide transfer RNA is filed under the name Ovis aries (sheep). It matches the Rfam family "tRNA", at positions 8 to 63 of the family's 71-position model. From Rfam's summary of the family: Transfer RNA (tRNA) molecules are approximately 80 nucleotides in length. Their secondary structure includes four short double-helical elements and three loops (D, anti-codon, and T loops). The record is from Rfam by way of RNAcentral. Lineage: Eukaryota; Metazoa; Chordata; Mammalia; Artiodactyla; Bovidae.
UGGCUCAGACAGUAGAGAAUCUGCCUGCAAUGCAGGAGACCCAGGUUUGAUCCCUGG